GCCAGCAUGGCAUAGUGGCUUGGGUGUUGGACUACAGCUCUGGAGAUCAGGGUUCGAUUCCUCGCUUGGCC
This 71-nucleotide transfer RNA is filed under the name Phrynosoma platyrhinos (Desert horned lizard). Its description in RNAcentral is "tRNA-OTHER". Lineage: Eukaryota; Metazoa; Chordata; Lepidosauria; Squamata; Phrynosomatidae. The record is from RNAcentral.